ACCAGCCGAAAAUUGCCUCAACUGGCUGCGAUAGUCCAAUGGCCACCAAAACAACACAACCUGACCACCUCAACCUCCCAUUUCCAAAUCUCCAAACAUCUGCCCUCGAAACCAAGCUGAACCCUGAAUAUCAGCCAUAUAUUUGACUCCGUCGCCAAGCACGACGUCACCACCACUCCAAACAUCACCAAAAUUAUACCAAUGGUCUUCUCACCCUCCUCUUUCCGAAUCCACACCCAUUAUCCCUCAAAUCUUAGCCAAAGAUCUUGAAUCUUAAAUUUAAUCCAACCCUAAAAUCCGAAAUUUUCCAGUUAGAGUGUUCAUUGAGGUUUUGGGUUAGUUCUGAGGUUAUUUACGUAUUUUUGGUGAGAAGCACAUGAUUUACCUCAGAUUGAAUAAAGAUUUGAAAAAUCAGAGGUCCCCGCUGGUUCAUUAUCCGA
RNAcentral lists this long non-coding RNA (440 nucleotides) under Nicotiana benthamiana. RNAcentral describes it as "long non-coding RNA (NBEN_LNC017279)". The record is from RNAcentral. Lineage: Eukaryota; Viridiplantae; Streptophyta; Magnoliopsida; Solanales; Solanaceae.